Molecule: ribosomal RNA, 468 nt
Filed under: uncultured bacterium
Lineage: Bacteria
Description: partial 16S ribosomal RNA
Rfam family: Bacterial small subunit ribosomal RNA
Source: RNAcentral
GACGAACGCUGGCGGCGUGCUUAACACAUGCAAGUCGAACGGACAGGCCCUGCUUUUGUGUGGUUCUCGAUUGGCGAACGGGUGAGUGACACGUGAGUAACCUGCCCUUGUCUUUGGGAUAACUUCAGGAAACUGGGGCUAAUACCGGAUAUGAUCUCCUGCUGCAUGGUGUUGGUUGGAAAGAGUCGGCGGUAGGGGCUGUAAUCGCUGCUUAUCAGCUGGUUUGUGUGGUAGUUGCGUACCAAGGCUUUGACGGGUAGCCGGCCUGAGAGGGUGGACGGCGACAUUGGGCCUGAGAUAGGGCGCAGAAGGGUACGGGAGGCAGUGGUGGGAAAUCUUGCACAACGGGGGGAAGCCUGAUGUAGAAACGUCCGGUGCGGGAUGCCCGGUUUCGGGUGGUAAACAGAUGUCGAAUGUGACGAAGAGAGAGUGACGGUACCGGGUAAAGAAGCCCCGGCUAACUACGUG